Molecule: non-coding RNA, 23 nt
Filed under: Arabidopsis thaliana (thale cress)
Lineage: Eukaryota; Viridiplantae; Streptophyta; Magnoliopsida; Brassicales; Brassicaceae
Source: RNAcentral
GCCGUUCGCCAAGAUUCUACGCA